Molecule: small RNA, 33 nt
Filed under: Bombyx mori (domestic silkworm)
Lineage: Eukaryota; Metazoa; Arthropoda; Insecta; Lepidoptera; Bombycidae
Description: ovarian small RNA-13353
Source: RNAcentral
CAGUCUCUUCGGAGGCGUGGGUUCGAAUCCCAC